AAAUUUUGUAUGGUGAAUAUUUUUAUUUUCCUCCAAUUAAUUUUAUUUUAGAUUAUUAAGUUUUGCUUGAAUUUGAUUUUGUGCAUCCCAAUUCCUCUUAACAAGAAUUAUAAAGACUUCGAAUAUGGUCAAAUUGAAAUUGAUUCUACGAACCAAAUACCGAUAAAUAGACAUUUUAUGUAUCCAACUGCAAAAAUCAUUUUAAGGUUCAUCGAAACCUUUUCGGAGAUGAAAUACCACCUAAAGCAAGGGAGAAGGGACACAUGUUGGUUUUCUCUGUCGAGGGGGUUUGCGCAAGGUCAUAUUCGUUGCUAGAUAUAUAUAAGGUCGGGUGGAAGGUUUAUUCGCGUUUCUGUGCUGUUGGUCUCACUACAAGCUACUUUUGGACCCUUAAUACCAAUAUUUGAGCUUGGAUGAAGUAUAAAAGUUCACUAUUUUUUUCCAGGGACCUACUAUAUGUUCAGUUCGUACAAUUCUCAAUAAGUUUUAAGCUCAGUUUUCUAUAACACCACAGAGGUUGGAGAAAAUGUAAAUUAUCAAUUAUGUGAAUGCUUUGACAGAAAGUCUACAGAUGUUGACAGGAACAAGGAGGUUGUAGAAUUGUGAACUAUUGGAACUCAUGCUUUUGCAACUAAUUUUUUCCGUUUGAUCGUUGGCAUGUUGAUCUCGAUGAAAGAUUUUCCUAACAACAAUUUGGCCUCAUGUAGUCAUCAAGCAUCAAUGUUCCUUUCAAGGUUAUGUACAAAAUGGUGUGUGUACAUGUAUUCUCUUUGAUUUCUGAAGUAAGUUGGAUGUUAAUCUUAUAUUUUUGUAUGCAUAAAAAAAUUUGAAAAAGCGUGCAUGGAACCGCGACAUGUUGGAUUUUGGGAGCAUGAACACCAGCAUAUGCAUCACCUCUUAUAUUC
Papaver somniferum (opium poppy) is the source of this 905-nucleotide long non-coding RNA. RefSeq lists it as uncharacterized. The record is from RefSeq and is a predicted model, not a curated record. The transcript has 5 exons. NCBI's taxonomy places the organism in Eukaryota, Viridiplantae, Streptophyta, Magnoliopsida, Ranunculales, Papaveraceae.